UACGUAGGUGGCAAGCGUUAUCCGGAAUUACUGGGCGUAAAGCGCUCGCAGGCGGUCUUUUAAGUUUGACGUGAAAGCUCCCGGCUUAACUGGGAGAGGUCGUUGAAGACUGGAAGACUUGAGGCAAUGAGAGGGGUGUAGAAUUCCUGGUGUAGUGGUGGAAUGCGUAGAUAUCAGGAGGAAUACCAGUGGCGAAAGCGGCACCCUAGCGUUAGCCUGACGCUCAUGAGCGAAAGCGUGGGGAGCGAACGGG
Molecule: ribosomal RNA, 253 nt
Filed under: uncultured bacterium
Lineage: Bacteria
Description: partial 16S ribosomal RNA
Rfam family: Bacterial small subunit ribosomal RNA
Source: RNAcentral